GAUGAACGCUGGCGGCGUGCCUAAUACAUGCAAGUCGAGCGAAUGGAUUAAGAGCUUGCUCUUAUGAAGUUAGCGGCGGACGGGUGAGUAACACGUGGGUAACCUGCCCAUAAGACUGGGAUAACUCCGGGAAACCGGGGCUAAUACCGGACAACAUUUUGAACCGCAUGGUUCGAGAUUUAAAGGCGGCUUCUGCUGUCACGUAUGGAUGGACCCGCAUCGCAUUAGCUAGUUGGUGAGGUAACGGCUCACCAAGGCAACGAUGCGUAGCCGACUUGAGAGGGUGAUCGGCCACACUGGGACUGAGACACGGCCCAGACUCCUACGGGAGGCAGCAGUAGGGAAUCUUCCGCAAUGGACGAAAGUCUGACGGAGCAACGCCGCGUGAGUGAUGAAGGCUUUCGGGUCGUAAAACUCUGUUGUUAGGGAAGAACAAGUGCUAGUUGAAUAAGCUGACACCUUGACGGUACCUAACCAGAAAGCCACGGCUAACUACGUGCCAGCCGCCGCGGUAA
RNAcentral lists this ribosomal RNA (515 nucleotides) under uncultured bacterium. RNAcentral describes it as "partial 16S ribosomal RNA". It matches the Rfam family "Bacterial small subunit ribosomal RNA", at positions 28 to 523 of the family's 1533-position model. The record is from RNAcentral.